GGGGGGGGACCCUUUCCUCCUCUUUCUGCAUGGCGGCGACGGUGUUCUAUGCAGUCACGUUAUCUUGACUCUCUAGCGGCGUCAGCGGCAUCCAGCGGUAUCAGUCGGUCGCUGCUAGCGCUGGGGGGAUGAAAGGGGGGCGGAGCUGGUUACGAGGCCGACGACAACGCCGACGACGACGCGAAACCCAGGAACGGACGCCAAAGAGCUGCGCUCUAAAACACGGUACAGAACGGCAAGAAGCUUAAGCUAGGCCUAGCAUUGCUGCGGUGGUUGCUACGGCUGCCAGCGGAUCUGCGUGCAAGUGUGCCGGUUCGUUGGCCGGUUCGAGGCGGCGAGGUUAUCAAAAUGGCGGAGGUUGUGGCUUUUAUUAAUGCCGUUUCGGACCUGCGGUCACGGCAAAAAGUCCGGAAAAUUUGACGGCGAAGGGUUCUUGCGUCCGAAAUUUCAGCGUUCUUAUACACCCUAUGGGGUACGUACUGGUGCCGCGAAGCCGUCCGAAUUAUCUAGCGUCCGGAAAAUCGCUCGUUAACUGUACUCUGACAACUCCUCCAGCCGAUGAGGCGGCGUCGGAGACCAUUCGUUACGAUUCCUCUUUGUUACGCCGGCCAGCAUUACCGUGACUUUGGGUUCCCUUGCAAUAAAUUUACAGCCAAUUUUCCCUGAUAGGAGCACAAAUUCCCUGAGGUUUCCCUGAAUUUUUCCAGACUACUCAAAAUCCCUGAGAAUUCCCGGUUUUCCCGGUUGGUAGACACCCUGCAACUACCAUUACAAACCCAGCAAUAAGGUAGGAUAUACAAGUCUUUGGCAGCGACAGCAGCACAAGCACCAUUACACUAGAGAAUAGAGGAACAAACUAACCUGCACAAUUGUAAUAGCAAGGUAAGCGAUGCUCACUGGAUGAUGCCGCCGCUGCCAAAUGACCGCCUCUCCAGGUACUCUUGAUUUAUCUGCAGUCGAUUCCUUAGUCAGGUGCGCAGACGCAGUCAGUGCUAGGUGAUUCCGUGUGCAGCUAGGCAGCAGUUCGACACAGCCCUCGGAAGUCCUGUGCAGCACGACGGUUCCAGCAAUAGGAAAAGCCAGCAGUCCGAUGGCUCCUUCACCGUGUAGCGUUUGACAAUCCGGGAUAGAGUGCAAGUCGCUGUAUCUGCACAAUUGUAAUAGCAAGCUAGGCACCAGUUCGACACAGCCCUCGGAGUGCUGUGCAGUACGACGGUUCCAGCGGUAAGAAAGGCCAGCAACCUGCAGCGGCCGAUGGCUCCUUCACCGGGCAGCGCUUGACGAUCCGGGAUAGAGUGCAAGUCGCUGUAUCUGCACAAUUGUAAUAGCAAGAUUGCUACCAUCCAAGCAAUGCCACACUGCUAUGACCAUAUUUGCCCCAAGACACUAAUAAG
Dermacentor albipictus is the source of this 1394-nucleotide long non-coding RNA. RefSeq lists it as uncharacterized. The record is from RefSeq and is a predicted model, not a curated record. NCBI's taxonomy places the organism in Eukaryota, Metazoa, Arthropoda, Arachnida, Ixodida, Ixodidae.